Molecule: long non-coding RNA, 4883 nt
Filed under: Mytilus galloprovincialis (Mediterranean mussel)
Lineage: Eukaryota; Metazoa; Mollusca; Bivalvia; Mytilida; Mytilidae
Source: RNAcentral
UAUCACUUUUUAGGGUGCCAAUGCAACAAUUUUAGCUGACAUAUUUUAUACAAUGAAAUGCUACCAACCUCUCCAAUACAACCUUUUAAAAAUUUUAACAUUUGUGCUAAAGUGAAAAAUUUGAUCAACAUGUCUUUUAAAAUAGUUAAUGAGUUGUGAAGUAUGGUACAAUUUUGUAAUAAUACAUUUUGCAAUCAGCAAUACAUUUUACUUAUAUUCAAUAUAAAAUUGUCUUCACACAGUACAACAUUUUAACAUUGGCAUCACAACUGGGACAAGAAGUUGAAAUUUAGAACAGACAACAGAUGCUCCCAUUUGUGAUAAUUUGUUCUUUUAAUUUGUAAAGGGACACAACCAUAUAAUAGUGUUUAUAUCUUAAAAAAACUGUCACAAAAUGAAGGAUCUCAAAUAAACCUUGAUUCAUUAAGGAAAAAAAUAAAUUUCUGGAUUUCUACAAGUGUUUCUCAUGAUAAUUGCUUAAUUAAAACAACCUUCAUGAAAAUUCUAAACUUCACUUUGUUACAGCUGUAAUAUUCAAAAGGAUAAAUGAAAUAUAUUUUUUUACGAAUAAUUUGAAUGAAUUUUUUAAUAUCUAGCUCUUAAGUAUGCAAACAGGACAAUAAAAGGUUGUUUGUUCAAAUAAAAAUAAUUUAAAUGUUCAUCAUAAAAUUAUAGAGUUAUCUCCCAUUGUCCAUGUUUAUGAGGAAAUUCAAGCUUAGUGGUUUCAGUAAAAUGUGAAAAUUUCUAAGAUUAUGUGAUGGACGUUAAAGUGAUGACCAAUUUAAGUAAAAAACAUGAUAUAAUUAUAUGCUAUUACUUAAAACUUCUGAUCCAUCUUGUUUCUAUGUUUCAAGGUUGUAUUAGUAGGUAAUCAACUCUAGAUUUGUACAAAAAUAAGUACAAUAUUAUCUUUCCAUGUGAUACCUCUCAUAAUCACACAAAAAGUGUUGCAAGCUGACUCUUAAAAUAACCUCUUCUUUACACUCAAACAUAUAUAUAUAAAUAAUGGUCACUGCACUGUACAAGGCCACAAUAUUGCAAACUUUCUAUAAAUUAUUAAUUUUUUACAUCAGUAUACAUAUCGGCAUUUGUCAAAUUAUUUAAAGCACAAUUCUGAUUUUGUAGCCAAUUUCACCCUCACAUUUCCCUAGAAAUAUUGAACAUGUUUAUGUUCACUAUCAGUAAGAGUUGAGAGGACAUAAUUCAUGAAAGACAUUUACGAUAUAUUAUUAUUUCACCCAAACUGGUCAUAAACGAAAGAGUUGGGUUCAAGGGACAUAAUUAAUGGUAAAAAGACACCAAAUCAGAAGUGCAGAACAUUGUACAGCUAAAUAUCUUGAACAAAUGGGGUAUCAAAUAACUGUCAAAUGACUUCACAAUUUAUUUUGGUACCUAGUGAUAUGAUAUGAUAAAGUUCAAAGGGACAUAACCUUUGCCAAAAAAAGACUGUCACAAGAGUACAACGUAAGACAAAUACUGCCAGUAUUUCCUGGUUAGAAAACUUAGAUGUGUUUACUGGUACAUGUGUUAUCAUCAUAUCUAAGAUAUAUUGACUUUACAACCAAAAUUAAAGACACAUAUUUUUUAGUAUGAAAUAAAAAAAAUGAUCCCUUUAUAAAUCAUGUGACCAUACAUAAUACUGCAGCACCAUGACAUGUGAUGAAAGUUGAAAGAAAAAUGCACAAUGCAAAUAAUUAAUCUAUUACUGUUUGAAUGACUAGAAUAAACUUAUAGCGUCAUGCAAUAAGUCAAAUCAUAAUGACCAUCAGAGUUUUAAUCAUUAAACAUGAUUAAAUAUAGGAAAUUAAUUUAAUAAUUUAAUACUAUUUCCCACAAUAUGUAAAACAUGUGAACAGUAAGGACAUCAUAUUUUCUCAGUUCCACAAAAAACAUUUUCAUUUACAACUGUCCAUACCGAUUCACUGGUAUAUUACAAUUUCAAAAUUUACAAAACAAACUCGUUAUUUGAUAAAAUACACAAUAAAAAAAUAAGGCAUUCAAUAUCACAAUGGAUUAGCACUGAUUUUACAAUUAAAUGCAAAAUAUGGACUUCUGUCUAACAAGAUGGCUAGUAUAUUUACACUAAACAUCUAGUUGACCAAUUAUAUAAAUAUCUUCCCCCAACUUUACCCUCCAAAAUCUAAGGAGCACAUUAUGACUGAACACUCAAAGAAGUAUUACAAUGUAAUAUUCAUACAUUUUGUCACUUUGAUGCGAAAAAGUAAUACCAUAACUUUUAUGAUAGUUUUUGUUUCUGAACAGGCAACAUUACUUGAUGCAAAAUCACAACACCAAUUCAUACAGAAAAGUUUUCAACAUCACUGUUCUAUAAUUAGACAGUUGUCACCGACAACAAAGGAUUGUAGGUUUUUCCCUCAGUAUGCCGACUUCCAUGUGCAAGCAUUUCUUGAAUUGUCAUAAAAUCGUCAAAUACUUUUCUACCUUUAUUCUUCAUCAUUUUUCUAUGACUUAGUUCAAAAUGCUUGCACAUGGAAGUCGGCAUACUGAGGGAAAAACCUACAAUCCUUUGUUGUCGGUGACAACUGUCUAAUUAUAGAACAGUGAUGUUGAAAACUUUUCUGUAUGAAUUGGUGUUGUGAUUUUGCAUCAAGUAAUGUUGCCUGUUCAGAAACAAAAACUAUCAUAAAAGUUAUGGUAUUACUUUUUCGCAUCAAAGUGACAAAAUGUAUGAAUAUUACAUUGUAAUACUUCUUUGAGUGUUCAGUCAUAAUGUGCUCCUUAGAUUUUGGAGGGUAAAGUUGGGGGAAGAUAUUUAUAUAAUUGGUCAACUAGAUGUUUAGUGUAAAUAUACUAGCCAUCUUGUUAGACAGAAGUCCAUAUUUUGCAUUUAAUUGUAAAAUCAGUGCUAAUCCAUUGUGAUAUUGAAUGCCUUAUUUUUUUAUUGUGUAUUUUAUCAAAUAACGAGUUUGUUUUGUAAAUUUUGAAAUUGUAAUAUACCAGUGAAUCGGUAUGGACAGUUGUAAAUGAAAAUGUUUUUUGUGGAACUGAGAAAAUAUGAUGUCCUUACUGUUCACAUGUUUUACAUAUUGUGGGAAAUAGUAUUAAAUUAUUAAAUUAAUUUCCUAUAUUUAAUCAUGUUUAAUGAUUAAAACUCUGAUGGUCAUUAUGAUUUGACUUAUUGCAUGACGCUAUAAGUUUAUUCUAGUCAUUCAAACAGUAAUAGAUUAAUUAUUUGCAUUGUGCAUUUUUCUUUCAACUUUCAUCACAUGUCAUGGUGCUGCAGUAUUAUGUAUGGUCACAUGAUUUAUAAAGGGAUCAUUUUUUUUAUUUCAUACUAAAAAAUAUGUGUCUUUAAUUUUGGUUGUAAAGUCAAUAUAUCUUAGAUAUGAUGAUAACACAUGUACCAGUAAACACAUCUAAGUUUUCUAACCAGGAAAUACUGGCAGUAUUUGUCUUACGUUGUACUCUUGUGACAGUCUUUUUUUGGCAAAGGUUAUGUCCCUUUGAACUUUAUCAUAUCAUAUCACUAGGUACCAAAAUAAAUUGUGAAGUCAUUUGACAGUUAUUUGAUACCCCAUUUGUUCAAGAUAUUUAGCUGUACAAUGUUCUGCACUUCUGAUUUGGUGUCUUUUUACCAUUAAUUAUGUCCCUUGAACCCAACUCUUUCGUUUAUGACCAGUUUGGGUGAAAUAAUAAUAUAUCGUAAAUGUCUUUCAUGAAUUAUGUCCUCUCAACUCUUACUGAUAGUGAACAUAAACAUGUUCAAUAUUUCUAGGGAAAUGUGAGGGUGAAAUUGGCUACAAAAUCAGAAUUGUGCUUUAAAUAAUUUGACAAAUGCCGAUAUGUAUACUGAUGUAAAAAAUUAAUAAUUUAUAGAAAGUUUGCAAUAUUGUGGCCUUGUACAGUGCAGUGACCAUUAUUUAUAUAUAUAUGUUUGAGUGUAAAGAAGAGGUUAUUUUAAGAGUCAGCUUGCAACACUUUUUGUGUGAUUAUGAGAGGUAUCACAUGGAAAGAUAAUAUUGUACUUAUUUUUGUACAAAUCUAGAGUUGAUUACCUACUAAUACAACCUUGAAACAUAGAAACAAGAUGGAUCAGAAGUUUUAAGUAAUAGCAUAUAAUUAUAUCAUGUUUUUUACUUAAAUUGGUCAUCACUUUAACGUCCAUCACAUAAUCUUAGAAAUUUUCACAUUUUACUGAAACCACUAAGCUUGAAUUUCCUCAUAAACAUGGACAAUGGGAGAUAACUCUAUAAUUUUAUGAUGAACAUUUAAAUUAUUUUUAUUUGAACAAACAACCUUUUAUUGUCCUGUUUGCAUACUUAAGAGCUAGAUAUUAAAAAAUUCAUUCAAAUUAUUCGUAAAAAAAUAUAUUUCAUUUAUCCUUUUGAAUAUUACAGCUGUAACAAAGUGAAGUUUAGAAUUUUCAUGAAGGUUGUUUUAAUUAAGCAAUUAUCAUGAGAAACACUUGUAGAAAUCCAGAAAUUUAUUUUUUUCCUUAAUGAAUCAAGGUUUAUUUGAGAUCCUUCAUUUUGUGACAGUUUUUUUAAGAUAUAAACACUAUUAUAUGGUUGUGUCCCUUUACAAAUUAAAAGAACAAAUUAUCACAAAUGGGAGCAUCUGUUGUCUGUUCUAAAUUUCAACUUCUUGUCCCAGUUGUGAUGCCAAUGUUAAAAUGUUGUACUGUGUGAAGACAAUUUUAUAUUGAAUAUAAGUAAAAUGUAUUGCUGAUUGCAAAAUGUAUUAUUACAAAAUUGUACCAUACUUCACAACUCAUUAACUAUUUUAAAAGACAUGUUGAUCAAAUUUUUCACUUUAGCACAAAUGUUAAAAUUUUUAAAAGGUUGUAUUGGAGAGGUUGGUAGCAUUUCAUUGUAUAAAAUAUGUCAGCUAAAAUUGUUGCAUUGGCACCCUAAAAAGUGAUA